UACGAAGGGGGCUAGCGUUGCUCGGAAUCACUGGGCGUAAAGCGCACGUAGGCGGCUUUCUAAGUCAGGGGUGAAAUCCUGGAGCUCAACUCCAGAACUGCCUUUGAUACUGGGAAGCUUGAGUCCGGAAGAGGUGAGUGGAACUGCGAGUGUAGAGGUGAAAUUCGUAGAUAUUCGCAAGAACACCAGUGGCGAAGGCGGCUCACUGGUCUGUAACUGACACUGAGGCGCGAAAGCGUGGGGAGCGAACAGG
This 253-nucleotide ribosomal RNA is filed under the name uncultured bacterium. RNAcentral's name for it is "partial 16S ribosomal RNA". It matches the Rfam family "Bacterial small subunit ribosomal RNA", at positions 524 to 776 of the family's 1533-position model. The record is from RNAcentral.